Coturnix japonica (Japanese quail) is the source of this 1691-nucleotide non-coding RNA. The record is from RefSeq and is a predicted model, not a curated record. Lineage: Eukaryota; Metazoa; Chordata; Aves; Galliformes; Phasianidae.
AGGAGACAGAGCUCCAGCCUCCGCUAACUAUGGAUCUGAAGACAGGCAAGAGAGCAGAUAAGAGGCGAUGACAGAGCACAUGGGCCUGUGGCAUGCUGCCCAUCAGGUUGUCUUGGCUAUUUUGCUGGACCAUCCCUGUAAGGCUGCUCUGCCCUGCUCCUCUCUGCCUCCAGCAGUGCUAUUAAAGGAAGGAGGGAGCUGUGGAUUCCUGCAGUCUCUGGUCAGGUAUAACUUCCUUCCUAGCUCGCGACUAAUGAGAAAGGCUUCACCUCUUCUCCAAACCUUCUUGCCUGUUUAUUUAUAGAGGCUAGUAUCCAGACAGUAUGGGUUAUGCUUCAAACCAGACUUGGUCCUAGGCUGGAGGUUGGUCCAGCUCAGCUACAUAGUAGAGUUUUUGUUGGGUGGAGGCAUCUUAGUGUCCUGCCUGGGACAUAAUAUCUUGCCUCUAAAUACAUGGUCUGCCCUGCAGGAUAAGGUGAUUCUCAGCAUGAGCGAGGCUGGUGGAACUGGGCUUAUAAAAAUAUCUGAGCGGGGGAAGAAAAUAACUACUGUUUUCCAAGAAGAUGCGUUUUUCUAUUUUAAUUCUUGUAAGGCCGUGAUAAAAUAAAUGUUGUCUAUGAUGUAAAGCUGAAGGGUUGACCAGAACUUCCUUUGUGGUCAAGCUCUUUUUUUAUUGAUUGAUUUUAAGUCCUCUAAAUUUGUCAGGCUCACAAGUGCAGCGGUGACUUAAGUUAUAAGAGAAUGUUUGUGUCCUUAAGGAAAAAUACUGCACCCCUUCCUCCCUCUCACCCUUCUCAACCUUGCAAAGAAACCUACACUUGGCCAGAAUAUUUUUUUCACCCUCAGUGGAAAAUGUAAAUUAAAUAUUCAGGGGGGGAAAAAAAAUCAACAACAAAAAAACCCCACCCAAACUCAAUUUAAACCCCCCAGGCUCCUAAAUGCAAGGAAUUCAUGAUGGGCUGAACAGUGGCAUUUUGGUGGAUUUUAUUUAUUUAUUUAUUUUGGUAAAAGCUGAAAUCUUUAGGAGAAAUAUAUUAAAACAAACAAACAAACAAAACACUUCUCUGUUGAUAAAAAGAGGCACAUCUUUAAGGAUUUCUAUAAGAACUGUCCUGCAGUUGAGCUGGAUAAGCAAAACCACUUGGCUGUGUUUUUCUUUGCUACUCUUUUCUUCCUGAACCACAAAUGAUUUUGAUUCAGCUUUUCAGUCAUUCUCCGCACUAGGACAGACAUCAGGGUCUGAUCUGGGAUCUUUUGAGUGGUUGAGUGCAGCCCUGUCACACUGUAUGGAUACUGCUGCUGCUGCCAGCCUGAGGGGUCUGGUGUCAGGAUCUCUCUGCACUCUUGGAGUAUCUCUCUGCUUUUUCAGUGGAGUAAAUGUCCUCCUCUUAUUGCUCCCCACUGCUGUACCACUUUGCUGCUGACUCAGGUUUGUUCUGCACUGAGCAAGUGUGUUAUGUGCAGAAGUACAAAAUAUGAAGUGGUCAGGUGAGAUGCCCAGAUUAUGGCAAGUCAGUGACCUGAACAACAAAGCUCAGCUGAACUCCAUGAGAUGAGGCUGCAGAGUGCUCAGCCCUCAAACAAACUGUGAUUACUCACCUAACUUCAGAAUCCUCAUGUACUUGCAUAGCUGGCUUUUGAGUAUAGAAAUGCAUGGAAUCCAGAGUUAUGAAAUGAAGUCCAGGUAAGAG